Molecule: small nucleolar RNA, 78 nt
Organism: Hucho hucho (huchen)
Lineage: Eukaryota; Metazoa; Chordata; Actinopteri; Salmoniformes; Salmonidae
Gene: SNORD83
Rfam family: Small nucleolar RNA SNORD83
About the family: U83 (SNORD83) and U84 (SNORD84) are members of the C/D class of snoRNA which contain the C (UGAUGA) and D (CUGA) box motifs. They act as guanine methylation guides but lack complementarity to ribosomal RNA.
Source: Ensembl
GCCACAGGAUGACCUCACAGAUGUGCAUUAGUGUUCUGCGCAGAGAUGACCCACCCUCUACACCCAAGGCUGAUGGCU